This 347-nucleotide long non-coding RNA is filed under the name Phoenix dactylifera (date palm). RNAcentral describes it as "long non-coding RNA (PDAC_LNC011039)". Lineage: Eukaryota; Viridiplantae; Streptophyta; Magnoliopsida; Arecales; Arecaceae. The record is from RNAcentral.
GUAGCAGGUAAGAUGAUACUCUGGAAAAUCUUGCUUACCCUCCCCCUUCCCCCCCAGCCGCAUAUAUACCAGGCUGGGGGGUUCUUUUGGGGAUUGGUCAUCGUGUGGCGCGAUGGGGUUGCCACUGACAUGGCCGUUACAGGACGUCGUGGGGCAGCGCUGGGUACGGCUAUGGCAGGGCGUAGUGGAGUUCCGCUUUGUACGGCUGUUACAGGGGAUCGUGAAACAGCGUCGGAUACGGCCGUUGCAGGGAGUAGUGGAGCAGGGGGCCGCGGCGUGCCUCAGGGGAACAGUCUGUUGUUGUCAGAGAUUGCCGACUCGGGGUCGGAUUGCUGGAUCAAGGGGCA